Molecule: long non-coding RNA, 1344 nt
Organism: Felis catus (domestic cat)
Lineage: Eukaryota; Metazoa; Chordata; Mammalia; Carnivora; Felidae
Exons: 3
Source: RefSeq, a predicted model, not a curated record
UUCUUUUGAGUAAGCUCCGCACCCAACGUGGGGCUUGACUUCACCACCCCGAGAUCAAGAGUCGCGUGCUCAACCGCCUGAGCCAGCCAGGCACCUGCUUUGUUCACCAUGUUUGCCACUGUGAAUGACACCACCUAAAUCUUCCCUCACCUAUAUCCAUCGGUUCCUAAGAAUAGAAGCCAUCCCGGAGAAACGUGAAAUUCACAUGGCGUAAAUUUAACCAUCGGUGAUCUUUAGCACAAUCGUAGCGUUGUAUCACCACUACCUAGCUCAUCACCUAGGCCUAAAAUAUUUUCAUCACCCUAAAAGGAACCUUGCGCCUAUUUGUGUCAUUCUCCAAGCCUCUCUCCUUCUGGCCUCUGGCGAUCAUUAAUCAGCUUUCCUUUCCUGUGAAUUCACCCAUUCCGGGCACUCCAUACCAACGAGGUCCUACAGGAGGCGUGUGACUUCUUUCACUCAGCGUGGUGUUUUCAAGGGUCAUCCACACUUGAUCCACAGAAGCUGGAAAGCUCCUUGGCAGCUCGUUGCCAACUAUGCUGGUGGAUUUCCAGGAAUAUGUUCGUUUUCCUGAUAGAAGGGACAGAUGCGACUGGCUCCAGCCCCUCCCCUACCUCUUCCUGCCUUGAACACUGACACGAUGCCUGGAGCUACAGCAGCCAUGUUGCUGCACCGUGAGCUGAACGCCAAGGGGAUCACAGAGCGCCUGACCCUGGUACCAUUCAACCAGCAACAGCAGCUACCUACUUCCAGAUUCCUUGUUUGGGGAGAAAAUACAAGCCACUCUGAAUCAGGCUGUCUGCCGUGUGUAGCCCCCCCCUCCCAACUCUCACAGAUUCAUUUCUUAUGCUACUUAGACACGACAGUACAAUGACAUAAUUAUAUUUAUGAUUGCAUUUUGCUUGGCAAUUCAAAAGCCAAUUCCCCAAAGUCAAAUCUUAAUGGGCUCCUUGAGAGUUGGUGCCCCCAGGUUUCUUUUUUAAUGAAUUGGAAAUUUGGGGCUUAAAAAUAGAGAUAAAAACAAAUCAGACCCUCCCCUCCAGGCUCCCAUCACAGAGGCUGAUCUUCAAAGGGACCACCCAAGUCACCUAAGUGCCAUGAGGGGCCAAUUACACCUGUAUCACCCAGGUGGCUUUUUCCUCUUCUUACCCAGGACUAUACAGGGAUCCCCGAAUUCUGUAGGGACUUGGACAUCCCAGUGACAAUUGUCGGGCACUUUUAAUCUCUCCUGCACUGCUGCAGACUGAGCAAAGAAGCUUCCACUAUCGGAGCGCCUGGGUGGCUCAGUUGGUUGAGCGUCCAACUUCAGCUCAGGUCACAAUCUCAUGGUUUGUGGGUUCGAGCCCU